This 366-nucleotide small RNA is filed under the name Arabidopsis thaliana (thale cress). RNAcentral describes it as "ATSL226830". Lineage: Eukaryota; Viridiplantae; Streptophyta; Magnoliopsida; Brassicales; Brassicaceae. The record is from RNAcentral.
AAAAAUAAUUGAAAAGUUAAAUCCUAUAAGCUAAGCUAUUUUUCUCAAAAUGUUCUAUUUUUCACUUAUGAUUACAUGAGUUAAAGACAAAUUUGUUAAUUUUCCUUUUGUUGAAUAAAUGUUAAUUGUUUAUAAAUAUAUAGACAUAUAAAUUACUAUAUGUAAAUUUGUUUACUUUUUAAGAUUCUCUAUUUUUUUAGAGAAUAAAAAAGUUAAAUUUUGAAUGACACAUGUAAACAUCUGAUCGUUUGACCUGACACGUGGCACAAUCUUAUGAGUUAGCAACUUUAAAAACCAUACUUUAUAUAAUAAAAUUAUUGAUUUACAUGUUUUGUUGCCUAAUUUCUCUAAUGGACGUUAAACUUC